This 508-nucleotide ribosomal RNA is filed under the name uncultured bacterium. Its description in RNAcentral is "partial 16S ribosomal RNA". It matches the Rfam family "Bacterial small subunit ribosomal RNA", at positions 28 to 523 of the family's 1533-position model. The record is from RNAcentral.
GAUGAACGCUAGCUACAGGCUUAACACAUGCAAGUCGAGGGGAAACGAUAUUGGAAGCUUGCUUCCGAUAGGCGUCGACCGGCGCACGGGUGAGUAACGCGUAUCCAACCUGCCCACCACUUGGGGAUAACCUUGCGAAAGUAAGACUAAUACCCAAUGAUAUCUCUAGAAGACAUCUGAAGGAGAUUAAAGAUUUAUCGGUGAUGGAUGGGGAUGCGUCUGAUUAGCUUGUUGGCGGGGUAACGGCCCACCAAGGCGACGAUCAGUAGGGGUUCUGGGAGGAAGGUCCCCCACAUUGGAACUGAGACACGGUCCAAACUCCUACGGGAGGCAGCAGUGAGGAAUAUUGGUCAAUGGACGAGAGUCUGAACCAGCCAAGUAGCGUGCAGGAUGACGGCCCUAUGGGUUGUAAACUGCUUUUAUAAGGGAAUAAAGUGAGCCUCGUGAGGCUUUUUGCAUGUACCUUAUGAAUAAGGACCGGCUAAUUCCGUGCCAGCCGCCACAGUAA